UCGAGCGCCGUAGCAAUACGGAGCGGCAGACGGGAGAGUAACACGUGGGAACGUACCCUUUGGUUCGGAACAACCCAGGGAAACUUGGGCUAAUACCGGAUAAGCCCUUACGGGGAAAGAUUCAUCGCCGAAGGAUCGGCCCGCGUCUGAUUAGCUAGUUGGUGGGGUAAUGGCCCACCAAGGCGACGAUCAGUAGCUGGUCUGAGAGGAUGAUCAGCCUCACUGGGACUGAGACACGGCCCAGACUCCUACGGGAGGCAGCAGUGGGGAAUAUUGGACAAUGGGCGCAAGCCUGAUCCAGCCAUGCCGCGUGGGUGAUGAAGGCCCUAGGGUUGUAAAGCCCUUUCGGCGGGGAAGAUAAUGACGGUACCCGCAGAAGAAGCCCCGGCUAACUUCGUGCCAGCAGCCGCGGUAAUACGAAGGGGGCUAGCGUUGCUCGGAAUCACUGGGCGUAAAGCGCACGUAGGCGGAUUGUUAAGUCAGGGGUGAAAUCCUGGAGCUCAACUCCAGAACUGCCUUUGAUACUGGCGAUC
Molecule: ribosomal RNA, 533 nt
Filed under: uncultured bacterium
Lineage: Bacteria
Description: bacterial SSU rRNA
Rfam family: Bacterial small subunit ribosomal RNA
Source: RNAcentral